This 465-nucleotide ribosomal RNA is filed under the name Streptococcus mutans. RNAcentral's name for it is "bacterial SSU rRNA". It matches the Rfam family "Bacterial small subunit ribosomal RNA", at positions 28 to 468 of the family's 1533-position model. Lineage: Bacteria; Bacillati; Bacillota; Bacilli; Lactobacillales; Streptococcaceae. The record is from RNAcentral.
GACGAACGCUGGCGGCGUGCCUAAUACAUGCAAGUGGGACGCAAGGAAACACACUGUGCUUGCACACCGUGUUUUCUUGAGUCGCGAACGGGUGAGUAACGCGUAGGUAACCUGCCUAUUAGCGGGGGAUAACUAUUGGAAACGAUAGCUAAUACCGCAUAAUAUUAAUUAUUGCAUGAUAAUUGAUUGAAAGAUGCAAGCGCAUCACUAGUAGAUGGACCUGCGUUGUAUUAGCUAGUUGGUAAGGUAAGAGCUUACCAAGGCGACGAUACAUAGCCGACCUGUGAGGGUGAUCGGCCACACUGGGACUGAGACACGGCCCAGACUCCUACGGGAGGCAGCAGUAGGGAAUCUUCGGCAAUGGACGAAAGUCUGACCGAGCAACGCCGCGUGAGUGAAGAAGGUUUUCGGAUCGUAAAGCUCUGUUGUAAGUCAAGAACGUGUGUGAGAGUGGAAAGUUACACA